Molecule: ribosomal RNA, 475 nt
Filed under: uncultured archaeon
Lineage: Archaea
Description: bacterial SSU rRNA
Rfam family: Archaeal small subunit ribosomal RNA
Source: RNAcentral
GCCCUACCGGGUGCAGCAGGCGCCAAACCUCCCCAAUGUGAUAAAUCGCCACGGGGGGAUCCCUACUGCCAUUCUAAACGGGAUGGCUUUUCAUUAAUGUAAAGAGCUCUUGGAAUAACAGCUGGGCCACACCGGUGCCCGCCGCCCCGGUAACACCGGCUGCUCUAGUGGAAGCACCUUUUUAUUGGGCCUAGUUCGUCCCUAUCCGGUUUAAUACUUCUCUGGUGAAAUCCUGCAGCUUAACUGUGGGAAUUGCUGGAGAUACUAUUAGACUUGAAAUCUCGACACGUUACAGGUACUCCCACGGUACACGUGAAAUUCUGUAUUCCUGGGAGGACCGCCUGUUGCGAAGGCGUCUGACUGGGACGAUUCUGAAGGUGAAGGACGACAGCUACGGGCGCUAACCGCACUAUAUACACUGCUACUCCUAGCUGUGCACGAGGCACACUUGCUGCUGGGGUGGCUUUUACCUGUC